ACUUGAAAAUUUGAUCAUUAACCCUGUGUCCCAAAACCUCACGUCACGCCUGGUAUUAGUAUCUCCUCUUGAACUUGGCGACUCCUGUCCACUCCCCCGUAAAUCGUGAUUGCAUUCGGUUCUUCAAUAAAAUGUCUUGAUUUUCUUUGUCCAUUUUUUCAUUUCCUUUUUUUAAUGUGCAUUUUAUCUGCAAAAAUGGCGCAGACUUUUAAAAGAGCCAGUUGAGAAAGUGCCUAAAUUUCACAGUUUCCAGCCUUUCCCAAAUCAUUAAGCUCUUUUCUGACUUGGGUAUUCGCUCUAAUGGCGGUGGGUGUUGUUGGGUUGCUUAGAACAGCAUGGGUUGCAGCGACUAUGCCCAUACUCGUAGCCGCCGUACCUUGUUCUUGGCUGACCUCGUUUCAUGGAGCUGUUCUGGGGUUUGCCAAGAGAGGGAAGAUCAUGCAGUCGUCAUCUCAGUUCACAGUUCCUCAAAAGUUGUUCUGCCAUUUCUAUGUGGUGGCUGUAGCGUGGACAACGCUAUUGCUCGUUGCAACUUCGAUGUAUGCGUAUAAAACGGUGCCAUUGGUUUCAGAAUCGUUGCUUUACCCUUCAAUCGCCAGCCACUUCACUGGAGGUUCACAUAUCUUUUCAUGGGACAAGGUUCAUUCGGUUCCUGUCAGUUACAGAUAUAGCAUAUGGCGUUCGGUCUUUCUGCUUUUAUUGAUGGAGGUUCAAGUCUUGAGGCGCCUCUUUGAGACAAUAUAUGUGUUCAACUAUAGCUCCUCCGCUCGGAUGCACAUUUUCGGAUAUCUGACCGGCCUCUUCUUCUACACAGCAGCACCACUGUCACUUUGCUGCAAUAAUGUUCUGGAGGUUUAUAAAUUUUCAAUAAGUGGAGUGGCUGAGUUCAUUGUCAAGGGCAAGAGUAGCAUGCGACAAGUGGAAUUUGAUUGGUUACAAUUUGUGAACUCUCUUUUGAAGCUUGGUUGGCUCCAGUGGAUUGGUGCAGCUAUAUUUUUUUGGGGUUGGAUCCAUCAGCGCCGAUGUCACACAAUUCUUGGCUCAUUACGAGAUCACAGUGAGCCAAAUGAUGAAUAUGUGAUUCCUCAUGGUGAUUGGUUUGAAAUUGUUUCAUCUCCACACUAUCUGGCUGAGAUAGUUAUAUAUGCUGGCCUUGUAGUCGCUAGUGGAGGAACAGAUCUCACAAUCUGGUUACUUUUUGGAUUUGUGGUGUCCAACUUAGUAUUGGCAGCAGCGGAAACACAUAGGUGGUACCUCCAGAAAUUUGAAAGUUAUCCCAAGAAACGGCUCGCCAUUAUUCCAUUUGUUUACUAAGCGCAAACUUACAAAAGCUAGUGCAAAGGUGAUUGAGUGUAAAGCUUUGUGAGUCCGCACUAUUCGAUUCAAAUGAACAAAAGUUGCAGGAGCAGCAAGUCGGAGGAUUUUGAAUUCCAUGCUUAUGCGUACACAUCUAAGCCCCAAGUCUUGGAAGGUAGACUGGUACGACAUUUCCUGUCUAUACUGUUUAUGACCUCCAUGUCUUCAUGACUCAGCUGGAAUUCAAGAACCUCCAAAUUCUCUUUCAAUCUCUGAAUUUUUGAUGACUUUGGAAUCACUGCUGUUUUCCUUUGAAUUCCCCACCUCAGACAGAUUUGUGCCACAGUCUUUCCGUACUUCUUAGCCACAUCCUGAAAAUGAAACACUCAAGAAACAGAGAUUGUUAUAUCGUAAUUACGACAUGUGAAUGGUGCAUGUGUAAAACAGAGAAUACAUUGAGAACUGGAUCAUCCAAAGGUGAAAUUGAACCAAACAUAUCCUUGUUGGCCGCAGCACCUCCGAGAGGGGUGUGAGCUGUGGGAAGAACACCGUGUUUCAAGCAGAAUUUGACGAGAGAGUGGCGCUGGAAGUAGGGGUGAGUUUCAAAUUGGCUCACUGCA
RNA transcript from Pyrus x bretschneideri (Chinese white pear), 1916 nucleotides. It is a transcript of the gene named polyprenol reductase 2, with no coding region annotated. The transcript has 8 exons. The record is from RefSeq and is a predicted model, not a curated record. Lineage: Eukaryota; Viridiplantae; Streptophyta; Magnoliopsida; Rosales; Rosaceae.